GGAGUGGGCGGGGCGGGGAAGGGGUGGGAAGAGCUCGCAGCACCGCCGGGCGCCCGUCGGGCUCUGGGAGAGAGAGAGAAAUCCGGUUAAAAUCAGAGUCGGAGGGAGGUUUAACCACAGAUCGGUUCCGAUCGGAUUAUUCCUUAAAGGGGACGCGCCAUUGUCAAGAGAACGGAGCCUGGGGCCCGAGGGCGGGGACCGGCGGCGCCUGAGGAGCGAGGCAGCUGCACUUGGACUGGGGACGGGUAGACUGGAGGUCAGGAGAGGCAGUCUGUGGGAUCCUGCAUACUUCACAUAAAUGCCACGAGACUGAAGCAGCCUGACGCAGGAUCAAGAGAAGCUGCUGGUAUCAAUCUCACAUACUGAAUAUUAGUAAAGCUCAAAUUUCAAGUUUAAGAUAGCUUCUUUUCCUGUUAAAAAAUUGCUGAGAUUUUUUUGAUAACCUUUGACAUUCCAUAUUCUGCUUUGUACAUGGUGAAUGCCUACUGCUGUGCACCAGUGUGCCCACUUGUGUGCCUAUAAAGUACAAGCUCCCGAUUGAAAAAGCUUCUAGAUGGAUCCUUUCCAAAUUUGGUGUCUUUUCUACAAACUCUGUGCCUCAACAACCGUUUCUAAGUGGUAAGAGUAUGUACCUUUUUUUUUAAGAAUAAUAGAAAUUUGUAACACAAUUUUUGUUUAGAUUGCCUUCCCCUUUUUUGUGUCUUCUUCUCUUUUUACAUAUGAGUGAUAUCUGCACUUUUUUUUUUGGUUAAUAUUUUAAAAAUCUCUUCUAAAAAUAGCAGUAACAUCAGGUUUGUGGAAGCUUCAAAAUGUUCUUUCCAUAUUAUAUUCUGGGUGGAGUAUAAUACGUAAUAUUUAUAGAGAAUAAAUAUAGCAAUGUAUAAACAUCUUUAUGUGUGUGUACUUUGUGUACUCUAUAAUCCGUUAUUGUAAGGCUGAGGUAGUUUAUCCUGUUUUUUCCUGUCUAUUUAGGUAUUUGGAGUCCCCUGGGUCCAGAACAUCUUCUUACUUCAUAGCAAUUGUAAAUUAUGUAUGCAUUUAUGGAAAUGAUGAGAGAAGUGUAUAAUGCCAGCUCUUCUUUUUAUAGCAUGGCACUAUGUGUGCCUUUUCAUGUUCUAACAUUUUUUGGAAGCGUAGGUGCUAGUUAGCCAACACAUUUUCUGAACAUCUCUGAGAUUUACUCAGAACAUAUUUUGGGGAGGGGACCGAGGGAGACAGAAGAGUAAAAUUGAGCGGAACAAGUUGCUGCUAUAGGAGACCUUUAAAAUAAAAUUACUGAAGUAGGCUCAUUUUGAGUGCCAGUCAACAAAUAUUUACCAAAUGCUUGCUAUUUAUGAGUGAAAAUAUAUAAUGACAUUUAGCAUUGAAAAGAAGUGAGUCACGAGAUGGAAACCAAGGUGUUAGAUGAGAGUGCGAGGCAGGGAGGUUGGGGGAAGAAUGGGGUACACUUUAACUUGAGUUCUGUUCAUUAACUGCGUAAUGUUCUUGGGUGCAAGUUAAUUAGCCUUGGUGCACCUUGGUUUUCUCUAUGAAAUGAGUGAAUUAAACUAAAUGAUUUAUAAGGUUUUUUUGGUGCUUUCAUACACCCAGCACUUUAUGAUUGUAAUGAACAAAUUGAUUUUUGUUUUUUUGAGGAUACCUUUUCUUCCCUAAUCUAUCCGAUAGAGAUAUUUUUAGACUAUUUUCUUUGAGUUAUGGGGUUAGAAUAACGUCCUCACUAUUAGAACAUUUUUCAAUUAAUUGUUUUCUUUUGAAGUUGAUGUCUUUUAUUCUUUUCUCUCUACAUUUUUAUCCUCUGUUGACCUCUAGAAUUUUUCUUCAUUUGAUUCACAUGUUCCCCUUCUGUCUCUUAUAUUAGUGGCUCUCAUCAUGCUUCCUUGACCUGACUGACAUCCAUCAUUUUCACCUUAGUCAUUUUCCAGGGUUACUAAAUUGUAAACUAGUGGUUCCAAUCCUGGGACCCUUUUAAAAAAUACGGAUAUCUUCUGAAAUGAUCCUGGGACAGAGGUGUGAUUCUUGGCAGGUAGCCAGAAGCAGUUAGUAAACCAGCAUUAGUUUAGCAGGACUGGAGCCCCAAACUUCUGUGCACUUUUCAUACCCCAUCACUUCUCAUCAUCACCUGGAACACUUCCACUUCUGAGGUCUUGAAAAGUUCCCUCUCAUGAUCAUAACCCUCUAUCAUGUCACGCUUUCUGAGUCUGUUCUUUGUCUUUGUUAUGACUUGUACUUUCUUGGCAUUUCCAUG
Molecule: long non-coding RNA, 2245 nt
Filed under: Equus asinus (donkey)
Lineage: Eukaryota; Metazoa; Chordata; Mammalia; Perissodactyla; Equidae
Description: lncRNA (ENSEASG00005034599.1)
Source: RNAcentral